This 253-nucleotide ribosomal RNA is filed under the name uncultured bacterium. RNAcentral's name for it is "partial 16S ribosomal RNA". It matches the Rfam family "Bacterial small subunit ribosomal RNA", at positions 524 to 776 of the family's 1533-position model. The record is from RNAcentral.
UACGUAGGGAGCAAGCGUUGUCCGGAAUCAUUGGGCGUAAAGCGCGCGUAGGUGGCCUCAUAAGUCCGCUGUGAAAGUCAAAGGCUCAACCUUUGAAAGCCGGUGGAUACUGUGGGGCUAGAGUACGGAAGAGGCGAGUGGAAUUCCGGGUGUAGCGGUGGAAUGCGUAGAGAUCCGGAAGAACACCAGUGGCGAAGGCGGCCCGCUGGGCAGUGGCUGACGCUGAGGCGCGACAGCGUGGGGAGCAAACAGG